Molecule: ribosomal RNA, 549 nt
Filed under: uncultured bacterium
Lineage: Bacteria
Description: bacterial SSU rRNA
Rfam family: Bacterial small subunit ribosomal RNA
Source: RNAcentral
UGGGGAAUUUUGGACAAUGGGCGCAAGCCUGAUCCAGCCAUGCCGCGUGUCUGAAGAAGGCCCUCGGGUUGUAAAGGACUUUUGUCAGGGAAGAAAAGGCUGUUGCUAAUACCGACAGUUGAUGACGGUACCUGAAGAAUAAGCACCGGCUAACUACGUGCCAGCAGCCGCGGUAAUACGUAGGGUGCGAGCGUUAAUCGGAAUUACUGGGCGUAAAGCGAGCGCAGACGGUUACUUAAGCAGGAUGUGAAAUCCCCGGGCUCAACCUGGGAACUGCGUUCUGAACUGGGUGACUAGAGUGUGUCAGAGGGAGGUAGAAUUCCACGUGUAGCAGUGAAAUGCGUAGAGAUGUGGAGGAAUACCGAUGGCGAAGGCAGCCUCCUGGGAUAACACUGACGUUCAUGCUCGAAAGCGUGGGUAGCAAACAGGAUUAGAUACCCUGGUAGUCCACGCCCUAAACGAUGUCAAUUAGCUGUUGGGCAACUUGAUUGCUUAGUAGCGUAGCUAACGCGUGAAAUUGACCGCCUGGGGAGUACGGUCGCAAGAUUA